RNAcentral lists this transfer RNA (72 nucleotides) under Clostridium botulinum. RNAcentral's name for it is "tRNA-OTHER". It matches the Rfam family "tRNA". Rfam says of the family: Transfer RNA (tRNA) molecules are approximately 80 nucleotides in length. Their secondary structure includes four short double-helical elements and three loops (D, anti-codon, and T loops). Lineage: Bacteria; Bacillati; Bacillota; Clostridia; Eubacteriales; Clostridiaceae. The record is from RNAcentral.
GAAGGUAUAGCUCAGUAGGGAGAGCGUUAGUUUUUAAGCUAGAGGUCAGGGGUUCAAAUCCUCUUAUCUUCA